Molecule: unclassified non-coding RNA, 346 nt
Filed under: soil metagenome
Description: partial contains 5.8S ribosomal RNA, internal transcribed spacer 2, and large subunit ribosomal RNA
Rfam family: 5.8S ribosomal RNA (bases 1-120)
Source: RNAcentral
GAUGAAGAACGCAGCGAAAUGCGAUACGUAAUGUGAAUUGCAGAAUUCAGUGAAUCAUCGAGUCUUUGAACGCACAUUGCGCCCCCUGGUAUUCCGGGGGGCAUGCCUGUCCGAGCGUCAUUGCUGCCCUCAAGCACGGCUUGUGUGUUGCGCCCCGUCCUCCGAUUCCGGGGGACGGGCCCGAAAGGCAGCGGCGGCACCGCGUCCGGUCCUCGAGCGUAUGGGGCUUUGUCACCCGCUCUGUAGGCCCGGCCGGCGCUUGCCGAUCAACCCAAAUUUUUAUCCAGGUUGACCUCGGAUCAGGUAGGGAUACCCGCUGAACUUAAGCAUAUCAAUAAGCGGAGGA